GUGAUUGUGGGGCAGAAACAGUGGAGAGGACAUCAAGGACCGAUGAUAAUCCAGGGAGACGGUUCAAAUCUUGCUAUAGGAUGAAAUGGAAUGGGGGUUGUAACUAUUUCCAAUGGAUUGACCCCCCUAUGUGUGAAAGGUCAAAGAUGGUGAUACCUGGUUUGCUAAGAAGAGUACGUAAGUUUGAUGGUGAUCUGGGCAGAUAUUAUGAAUAUGAAGAUAGACAUGAGUCUUGCUUUGAACCUAGUGUGGAGCCUUUUCAAUGUCAAAAUUGUGGCUAUAUGAAUGGAAGUUUGGAUGGAAGAGUUCAUGCAAGUUCCUGGUUGGUAAAGGGAAAUGUGAGGAAGAUGAUGUUGUUUUUGUUUUUUUUUUGUAAUUGUGUAUUGGCUGAAAAAAAUUAUGUAAUGUUCGACUUCCCUGUUUAUUGUAUUUAGUGUUGCUUUCAAGCAUAAUAAAAAUGAUGUAUUUUAUUUA
This is a long non-coding RNA of Humulus lupulus (European hop), 474 nucleotides long. RefSeq lists it as uncharacterized. The transcript has 2 exons. The record is from RefSeq and is a predicted model, not a curated record. NCBI's taxonomy places the organism in Eukaryota, Viridiplantae, Streptophyta, Magnoliopsida, Rosales, Cannabaceae.